Long non-coding RNA from Betta splendens (Siamese fighting fish), 1769 nucleotides. The record is from Ensembl. Lineage: Eukaryota; Metazoa; Chordata; Actinopteri; Anabantiformes; Osphronemidae.
UGGACGGCCCGAGGCGAGGCCAUCUGCUGCGGAGAGAGCGCAGUCCCUUUGUCAGCCAUUGUGGAAUGUGGAGGCAGAUUGAUGAGGGCUGGGUGAUUCCUUUAGGGCCUUAGCAAGGCAGCAGGCAGCUCAGAGAGCACCCCGGGGAACGCCCUCUCCUUCUGUCUCCACAGGCAGCGGUGCCGCCGGACGCUACACCAACGAAGAAGACUAUGUGUGAGUGUAUGUCUGAUGCUGCCUUCAGAAAGUUCAGUAUGAACCUUAAUGUCCACUUCAUAGUGUUUGUUCAUAGUGAUUAAAAAAGGGAGCCGUGCCUCCCAUGUGGCCUGGUCGUGCUCUGGCGAUGACCUUUGACCCCCCCAGCAGGUGUGUGCGGCUGGCCUUUAAUGCGAGGAGGCCGUCCAGAAGGUCUGAGGGUUUAGCGUGGAGGAGACAGGGCAGAUGUUGUGUGUGAAGUCCCCCGGGGAAAGUGUGCCACCCCCAAAGACAGGGGUCAGAGCAAGAGGGUGGAUCUGUGACGCUGGUUUCCAUGGCAGCCGGCCGCGUCAUGAAACAGGACUGUAUAGGCUUCGGGUUCACAGACAAACAAGCCUUUAUUCGUCCUCGGAGAGCUUAUAGGAUGCAGAAUGUGCUUCAGAUUCACACCACGGCUCAUCUGUUCAGACCAUCAGGUCUGAAGCUGAAACUGUUGGCAGUCUCCAAACAAGCCGGAGCACGGGUCCCCUCCUCCAGGUCAGACCCCCUGCUGAGCCCACAGAAGGCCUCUGUUUGGACAGUGGCCAUUACCCUCGCCGGUUUGACUCUGGGGGCUAACAUUGGUGCCACUAAACACACAAAUAAGUACGGCUGCAAGCCGUGCGCCAAGACACUGGGUAAAUAUGUCGACAAACUGGAGGAAUGUGCAGCGAGGCAGACACAGUCAGGAUCAAUCACAGCGCUCAUCACAGCUUUUCACCUUGGGUUCGUUAUGAUUGCCCGACGUUUUGAGGGACCAGACCUCAGCCCUCGUGGAUGGACCCAUGUGGGUCGAGUGGCCCUGCUGGUCAUCUGCUCAUCCACGGUCCUUGUAUUCAUGUGGAGGCCCUCCCACCCUCCUGCGGUGUCUGGGAAAGCCCCAAGUACAAAAGAGGACAAACUGUGGUUCAAGCUAAGUCACUGCUGUUUAGGCAAACACUGGAGCAGAGCUGGGAUUUCUGUUAUUACAACAAAAACAAAAUGACAACAGUAAUUUGGAGAAAUAUUUGUUUUCCAAAAGCAAAGCCACAGAUUUAAGGAAGCUAAUCAUUAAAUGACACGCCUCAGCUCACAUUCACCACUUUCUCCCAUUCAGGUCCUCGCCAUAUGGCCAACAUUCAGUGCAGCAGUGGGAAAGAGACAUCCAAAGCUUCAUUAUGUUAAUAGUGAUGCUUCUGCCGUGGCAUUUAGCAGACAGAAGGCCCGGCUGAGUGAGUGAACAGGGGUGGGGGCGGGCCUUGACACUGAUUCCCAUAAAGAAAAGCUGUCAUGUUUGCAAAUUGAAAUAAGGACAUAUGCAAAUGACUCAGCUGACGCAGGCAGACAAUGAAAACACGAUAAUCCAGGCUUGUUGUGUUUGAUUGGGAUGAUCUGGAUUUUAGGCAUAUCGUUCAGGCUACAACUGCAGACGUCACUGUCUGUUUUGGGAUUCAAGGAGUUGUCUGUUAACAAAAGCUGUGCUUCUUUGCCCUCUACUGGACAAACGUGCACACUGGAUCUGGUUACAGUAAUAAAACCCGGUUUAACGGAUUCCA